This 2390-nucleotide small RNA is filed under the name Rattus norvegicus (Norway rat). RNAcentral describes it as "uncharacterized LOC108352416". Lineage: Eukaryota; Metazoa; Chordata; Mammalia; Rodentia; Muridae. The record is from RNAcentral.
UAAAACACAUCAAUAACAUUGGACGGGGCACCCUAAAAAGCAUGUUUGAACUUAAUAUUGUCAUGGGCCUCAUCUCAGAGUUAUGUUCGUUUCGGAAGCACUAGUGAAUUUUGGUGGGAGGAUGUGAUAUUGUUCAGCUCCUAACAGAGGUAUAUGCAAGCCACAUUCUGAAAAACGUGUAGGCUCUCCUUACUUCAUAUGCAAACAAACCAAUUUCUGUAAACAUUUUUCCUAAAAGCAGUUCUUGAAGAGAAAUGUACAAAUAAUAGGUACGCUUCCUUAAUUGAUUGUUUUUAAGCCAUGUGCUUGGAGUUUUGCUCAAGAAAAAUAAUGUGUGGAACCCACCUUAUAAAUCAGCCGCCUUAGAAAAAUGUCUGUCUUGGAGGCCAAUUUUUCUCUCCCUUAUCAACAAACCUUUCCCAGUCAAGGUUCAAGCGGGAUGGUGUAGUACAGGCAAGUGGACACAAGGUGGCGCCCUGGGCAGUGGCAAGGAGCAGGCAAAAUGCAGCAGGCUCUGGAUUUGGUUUGAAUGAAGAAUGAGUUCAGUCCCUGUUGAUUGGAGCUGUGGGGUGGAGCUUUGCAGCGUCAGGACCUUGCCACAGAAACAGGCUGUUUAGAUUCCUAUCUAUUUGUUUCACAGGCUAUUGUUUGACCCAGAGAUUUGUCUCCUCUGUGCCCCUGGCUGGGUGAAGUGAGGGCAGACCAGUAGCUGAUUUGCAUCUUGAAGUGCUGUCUAGAACUGGUCAGUCGGGUCUGGGGUCAAGUUUGGGCUUGCUCUUCGUCACCAGCCGCUCCCUAAGUCUUCUUUGUUUAUUGAAAAAAGUUGCAUCCUGGACCGGUUCCCGGCCCAAGCUCUACGUGUCACCACACAAGUCCGGUUGUCUUCAACGGUUCGUCCCCUGACGGUGGUUCUCCGGCUUUCUUCUACUUGUGGACGGAGAACUGGCUCUGUUUCCCUUGACAUCUUGCUUCCAUCUCGACCAUUAUGGGAAGGAAGAGUGGACGAGUUUGUGUUUUCCUGUGGUUCCCCUUUCCUCCUGCAGGCAAGAGUUGGUCCCUCUGGGCCCCCAGCUCCUACCGGGUGUGCCCCCAGCUCUACUGGGAGCCCUCGCUGGUUUUUAGCGUCACCUCUGUACCCUGAAGGUUUCAGCAGGAAGCAGCUUCUGCAUGGACACCUGGGGUUGGUUCGCCUCUGUCGAUGUCUGUAAACUUCUGGAAAUAUCUUCAUUAAAUUCUCUCUAGUCAACUCUUAAAGGUGUUGGCUCUAGUGGCAAGGUUUUGUUUGCUUCACAGAGCCAGAAAAACCCUCUUGGUGCCUCCGUUUCUCUUCUUUUAAAUGAGAGCAUUUAUAUCUGCCUUAUUAAUGAGGAUCCUCUCUAACAACUACUGUAAACCAAGUGACAUCUGAAACCUGUUAACUUCUCUGCACAAGCCUCUGGAAUCGGCAGAGUGAGGGUCACAGACUAGACACUCGGUCCAAUGUCUUCCUUCGUUUAUGGGCAGAUUAAUGAGUGUCUUUAUGCCAAAGCACCAAGGCACACAGAAGGUUGGCACAGCAGUGCCAGCAAACACUGUGACCCUGGUAUCGACUGUGAGGCCAGCCUGCCUUCAGGAGAGCCUCAGGUCCUUAUAAGUGACAUGUGCUGUGUUGCCUGAAGGAUACUAGUUUGUUCCUCCCUCUUUCCCAUCUUGCCGGCUCCUUCCUCCCACCUGCAAAAUCAAUCAAACAAAAACAAAACAAAAACAAACAAACAAACAAAAAACGGAAGCUGCCCAGGUCCAGUUGUUUAUUCGAAGGUACAGCAAAGCCAGGGAGACCAAACAACCUUUAACAGGAGCUCUGUUGGGGACAGGAAGCAGCUUUUAGGUGUCCUUUGCUCCCUUGGUUGGACACUGCGGCCUUCAUGCUCGGUGGCAGCAGCUCAGAAGCCUGUCCCGUCUGACUGCAGAUGAACGUGGCCAUCUCCUGCCACUGUGGGACUGGGACUCCAGUCUGGAACGUUUCUUCUCCAGUCUCUGGGUCUUGAAGCCUCCGAGUUCGUAUGUGAAGAUGAGGAAGUCUUCAUAGCAUGGAGAGAACUAACGGCCCCAACAUCCCCUUAGUUGGACAUUCUGUGAGGCUCUGGGCCAGGAUCGAUUUCUUUAGCUUACAACUACGAAUCCAGACUUAUCCGCCAUCCAUAAAAAUGAUCGGCCUAUAAAGAAUUUACUUUAUGGGUAAAUUGAAUUGUUAGACCAGAAUAUGGUGAUCACUGUGGCCGGCCAUCAUUCACACAGCACAUGUGGGGACUAUUAAAGCUGCACCGUGGGCUGUUAGCUGUGACUUGUGGCCCAGAAUUAAUUCUGACUUUGAAAAGUCUGUCUAUGAGUUUAACAGGUCAUAUAUCAAA